Oryzias javanicus (javanese ricefish) is the source of this 2472-nucleotide long non-coding RNA. Lineage: Eukaryota; Metazoa; Chordata; Actinopteri; Beloniformes; Adrianichthyidae. The record is from Ensembl.
AUGUAUAUCAACAUUUGCUUCGACGCCGGCGACACGGAGCGGCUGGAGGAGCUUCCUCUCUGCAGCUGCAGGAUGGAAGCUCCUCGGAUCGACAGCAGCGGCCAGCGCAGCAGCAGACAGUGCAUGGCCACGGAGAGCAUCAACGGAGAGGUCGGGGACUGGACGGUGAAAGGCGAGACCAUGCGACCGUCCAGCCGCGUCUCCCUCAUGGUGCUCUGCGACGUCCAUCGCUCACACAUGGUCAAACACCACUGCUGUCCGGGCUGUGGGUACUUCUGCAUCGCAGGCACGUUUCUGGAGUGCUGUCCCGACCAGCGCAUCGCGCACCGCUUCCACCGCGGCUGCGUGACCGUGCUGAGCAGCGGGCGCAGCCGCGCCAACGGCGGCGGCAUGAUCUUCUGCCCCCACUGCGGGGAGGACGCCUCGGAGGCCCAGGAGAUCACCCUCCCGUCCUCCAGCGCCGCCGCCACCGUCGUCACCAUGUCCGCCUCCUCCACCACCACGCCGUCGCUGCCCCUGCCCGCUCGGAUGCAGAGCCACGGCCUGUUCACGCUGACGGUGGAGCAGCCGCCGCAGUCGGCCGCCGCCGCCGCCACCGUCACUGCCGCCGCCACCCCUCCAGGAGAGGAGGGAGUGGAUAGCGUGGGGCCGUCGCUAUGCAUGCCGAACGGGAAGCCGGUCUGCCCGAGCGCGCUUCCGCCUGGAACCAGCAGGGCGGCGCUGCAGAAAGCAAUUCUGACCCAGGACUCAGAGAGGAGGAAGAAGUUGAGGUUUCACCCUCGACAACUCUAUCCAGCCGCCAAGCAAGGGGAGGGGCAAAGAGUUCUGCUGAUGCUGAUGGAGGGAAUCGAUCCCACGUACCAGCCGGACUCCCAGAAUCGGCGCUCCGCUCUACACGCUGCAGCUCAAAGAGGUUUACUGGAGAUCUGCUACAUGCUGAUACAGGCCGGCGCCAACGUGGACGCCAAGGACAAAGAAAUGAGGACUCCUCUGCUGGAGGCCGUCAUCAACAACCACGUGGAGGUGGCCCGCUACCUGGUCCAGAGCGGAGCCUGCGUCUAUCACGUCGAGGACGACGGAUACACCGGCCUUCACCACGCCGCCAAGCUGGGGAACCUGGAAAUCGUUAACAUGCUUCUGGAGACGGGCCAGGUGGACGUGAACGCACAGGACAACGGGGGCUGGACGCCCAUCAUCUGGGCUGCCGAGCACAAACACGUGGAGGUGAUCAAGGCUCUGCUGAACCGAGGAGCAGACGUCUCCAUCACGGAUAAGGAGAUGAACGUUUGUCUCCACUGGGCGGCGUACGCGGGAAGUGUGGACAUCGCCGAGAUGGUGUUGAACUCCGGCUGCUCGCUCGCCUCCGUCAACGUCCACGGCGACACGCCGCUGCACAUCGCCGCCAGGGAGGGAUACCUGGACUGUGUGACGUUGUUCCUCAGCAGAGGUGCAGACAUCGACAUCAUGAACAAAGAGGGGGACACGCCGCUCAGCCUGGCCCGGGCCGACACCCCCGUGUGGGUGUCGCUCCAGAUCAACAGGAAACUACGGCGAGGAAUUACAAACCGUCUCCUCCGGACCGAGAGAAUCAUAAGCCGGGACAUCGCCCAAGGCUACGAGAACGUGCCCAUCCCCUGCGUGAACGGCGUGGACGAGGAGGGCUGCCCGUCCGACUACAAAUACGUUUCGGAGAACUGCGAAACAUCGGCCAUGAACAUCGACCGGAACAUCACGCACCUGCAGCACUGCGGCUGCACGGACGACUGCUCCUCCAGUAACUGCCUCUGUGGGCAGCUCAGCAUCCGGUGCUGGUACGACAAGGACCAGCGGCUGCUGCAGGAGUUCAACAAGAUCGAGCCUCCGCUCAUCUUUGAGUGCAACAUGGCGUGCUCCUGUUACCGCAGCUGCAAGAACAGAGUGGUUCAGGCCGGCAUCAAAGUCCGGCUGCAGCUCUACAGGACGGAGAAGAUGGGCUGGGGGGUCCGAGCUCUGCAGGACAUCCCCCAAGGGAGCUUCAUCUGCGAGUACGUCGGAGAGCUGAUUUCUGACGCCGAGGCCGACGUCCGAGAAGACGACUCCUACCUGUUCGACCUGGAUAACAAGGACGGGGAGGUGUACUGCAUAGACGCCCGUUACUACGGCAACAUCAGCCGCUUCAUCAACCACCUGUGCGACCCGAACCUCAUCCCGGUGCGGGUCUUCAUGCUGCACCAGGACCUGCGCUUCCCGCGCAUCGCCUUCUUCAGCUCGCGGGACAUCCUGAGCGGGCAGGAGCUGGGGUUCGACUACGGCGACCGCUUCUGGGACAUCAAGAGCAAGUACUUCACCUGCCAGUGCGGCUCGGAGAAAUGCAAACACUCGGCCGAGGCCAUCGCCCUGGAGCAGAGCAGGCUGGCCCGGCUGGAGAUGUCUCACUGCGUCCCAGAUUUAACGUCUGCGUUAACUUCUUCACUUCCUCGUAAAGAUUUAUGA